GGAGGGGGUGCUGGGGGUGCCCGCCCCGCCCUCACGGUGGAGCGCAGAGAACGUGUUUUAACCUUCACUAUCAGAGAGCCCGCCUCGAACUCUGUGCUUAUGUAAUUCUCCAGAAAAAAAAAAGAAAGAAAAGAAAAAGAAAAAAGCACCGCACCUGUCAGGCACACCCACCUCCUGCAGCCGAGAACCCCCGCAGCACUGACCCAGCGCUGAAUGUCUGCAGAAGGUCCCGCACGGCUCCGCGCCGCCUCACAGGCCUUGCUACACCUGUUUUAAAGAGGAAGAAACUGAGGUCCUGGGAUGUUGGGUGACUUGCCUGCGAUUUCCCAGCGGGAGAGCAUCGGUAAAGAUGGAGCAAUUGAGAUCUAAGCAAUAGGAAGUCUGCAGAAUGGGAGUUUCUGGGGAGAGGACCAAGGAGGAGUCUGAGGACUCUAGUGGGAAGCCUGAAGAUACAUACUUUCUCUCCAACAGUCAAGAAAAAGCCAAGAGACCUGAAGUGGAGCUUGAGAGGGUGAGAAGUUGAGGAAGUUCAAGCUACAAGCAACCUUCUCUCCAUAAAUAAAAAAUGGCAAGGCACCUGCUGAAAGAAGGGAGGUCAGGUGUGGGCUUGGGAAUGAGUAGAAAUGAAACUUUUUAACAGUGACUGUGCAGUACCACAGUAUGAUGUUGCUAACCUGCUAAAUUUGGUUUACGUGAAUUUGUGAAGAUGCCAAUUCGACUUUCUUUUUUUUUUUUUUUUUUUUUUUUUUAAAGAAGGAUCUUGAUAAUUCCUCUUAAGUCUGGUGGGUUUCUGUUAAAAUCCCUGAGGGUUUUGUAUCAACACAUACAAACAAAUAAUUAUAAAAGUAACUGUAUCUCUCACAUGUCAACAUUAGUGAAAAUACACAAACCACUGACUUAUGUGAUUAAAAGUUUUGUUACUAAGGGGAAAUUAAAUGAACUCAAUAAAACUGUCUUACCUA
Molecule: long non-coding RNA, 962 nt
Organism: Nyctereutes procyonoides (raccoon dog)
Lineage: Eukaryota; Metazoa; Chordata; Mammalia; Carnivora; Canidae
Exons: 2
Source: RefSeq, a predicted model, not a curated record